RNAcentral lists this ribosomal RNA (406 nucleotides) under uncultured bacterium. RNAcentral describes it as "partial 16S ribosomal RNA". It matches the Rfam family "Bacterial small subunit ribosomal RNA", at positions 30 to 526 of the family's 1533-position model. The record is from RNAcentral.
AUUGAACGCUGGCGGCAGGCCUAACACAUGCAAGUCGAGCGAGCGGCGGACGGGUGAGUAAUGUCUGGGAAACUGCCUGAUGGAGGGGGAUAACUACUGGAAACGGUAGCUAAUACCGCAUACCAUCAGAUGUGCCCAGAUGGGAUUAGCUAGUAGGUGGGGUAACGGCUCACCUAGGCGACGAUCCCUAGCUGGUCUGAGAGGAUGACCAGCCACACUGGAACUGAGACACGGUCCAGACUCCUACGGGAGGCAGCAGUGGGGAAUAUUGCACAAUGGGCGCAAGCCUGACGAAGCAAUGCCGCGUGAGUGAUGAAGGUCUUAGGGUUGUAAAAUUCUGUCAGCGGGGAGGCGGUACCCAAAGAGGAAGCAACGGCUAACUACGUGCCAGCAGCCGCGGUAAUUC